RNAcentral lists this ribosomal RNA (500 nucleotides) under uncultured Glomeromycotina. RNAcentral's name for it is "partial small subunit ribosomal RNA". It matches the Rfam family "Eukaryotic small subunit ribosomal RNA", at positions 591 to 1092 of the family's 1831-position model. The record is from RNAcentral. Lineage: Eukaryota; Fungi; Glomeromycota.
CCAAUAGCGUAUAUUAAAGUUGCUGCAGUUAAAAAGCUCGUAGUUGAAUUUCGGGAUCAAUUUACUGGUCGUGCCUAUGGUACGUACUGGUAUUGUUGGUUCCUCCUUUCUGAGGAGCCGCGAUGUCAUUAACUUGGUGUCGCGGGGAAUCAGGACUGUUACUUUGAAAAAAUUAGAGUGUUUAAAGCAGGCUAACGCUUGAAUACAUUAGCAUGGAAUAAUGAAAUAGGACGUUUGAUUCUAUUCUGUUGGUUUCUAGGGUCGACGUAAUGAUUAAUAGGGAUAGUUGGGGGCAUUAGUAUUCAAUUGUCAGAGGUGAAAUUCUUGGAUUUAUUGAAGACUAACUACUGCGAAAGCAUUUGCCAAGGAUGUUUUCAUUAAUCAAGAACGAAAGUUAGGGGAUCGAAGACGAUCAGAUACCGUCGUAGUCUUAACCAUAAACUAUGCCGACUAGGGAUCGGAUGAUGUUAAUUUUUUAAUGACUCAUUCGGCGCCUUACG